This 292-nucleotide ribosomal RNA is filed under the name uncultured prokaryote. Its description in RNAcentral is "partial 16S ribosomal RNA". It matches the Rfam family "Bacterial small subunit ribosomal RNA", at positions 505 to 796 of the family's 1533-position model. The record is from RNAcentral.
GUGCCAGCCGCCGCGGUAAUACGUAGGUGGCAAGCGUUGUCCGGAAUUAUUGGGCGUAAAGGGCUCGCAGGCGGUUUCUUAAGUCUGAUGUGAAAGCCCCCGGCUCAACCGGGGAGGGUCAUUGGAAACUGGGGAACUUGAGUGCAGAAGAGGAGAGUGGAAUUCCAUGUGUAGCGGUGAAAUGCGUAGAUAUAUGGAGGAACACCAGUGGCGAAGGCGACUUACUGGUCUGUAAUUGACGCUGAGGCUCGAAAGCGUGGGUAGCGAACAGGAUUAGAAACCCGCGUAGUCC